RNAcentral lists this ribosomal RNA (1243 nucleotides) under Chrysochromulina rotalis. RNAcentral's name for it is "partial Bacterial small subunit ribosomal RNA". It matches the Rfam family "Bacterial small subunit ribosomal RNA", at positions 273 to 1525 of the family's 1533-position model. The record is from RNAcentral. Lineage: Eukaryota; Haptophyta; Prymnesiales; Chrysochromulinaceae.
UCGAAGACCUUUAGCAAUUUUUCACGAAUCUAUUGCCCGAUUAGUUCUGAAACAAUAACUAAAUUCAAAAGAAUCGCAGUUAAGAAUAUUGGACAAUGAACGAAAGUUUGAUCCAGUGAUUUUGAAUAGGUAGAGAAAUUAUUUUUUGUAACCUAAAAAGCAAUAAAAACAUGAUUAUUGUGUAAAAGUUGUCUCUAAUCACGUGCCAGAAGAGUCGGUAAUACGUGAGCAACGAGCGUUACGCGAAAAGACUAGGUUUAAAUAGCGAUUAGAAGAAGAUACUGAAAAAGAAGAAAACCCAAAAAAUGUUGGGUUUCUAAUAUAACGUAUCUAUAGAGUAAUAUAGACGAAAAUAGAAUGAAUGAUAUUAACGAUAAAAUGUGCUUAUUUCAUUUGGAAUACCUUUGGGUGAAGACAAUUUUCGAUAUAUUUAUAAAACAAAUAACUAUUUGUUUUUACUGACUUUUUUAUCGCGGAAGCUUGAGUAUCGACAAGAAUUAGUCACUCUUUUAGUUCAAGCCGUCAACGAUGACUUUCUUUAUCUAGAGAUCUUUUAGAUAAAUGGCUAAAGUAGAAAAGUUAACCUGAAUAGUAAGAUCGCAAGAUUUAUCCUCAAAGAACUCGGUGAGGUGAAACACCAUUUGUGAAGCAUAGCGAAUUAAUUGGACAGUACGCCCGAACCUUACCUCCGCUUGUAUAAUUUGACAUUUUAAAACGCUUCGUAAUUAUAUUACAAAUUUUUCCAAAUUACAAAUGUUGCAUGGUUGUCGAACAGAUCUUAUUUUAAAAUGUUUGGUUUAUUCCAAUAAAGAUCGAAACUUUCAUUCUUAUUUACAAAUUCUUUUGAAGAAAAAGCACUAUAAGAACAUCAAUAUCCAUAAGAUAUAUGAAAUGAAAAUGACGUCUAAAUCUUUAUGACUUUUAUGCGGAGGGCUUUCCGUGUGCUAUAAUGAAACAAUCAAAAAGUAACUUAAUAUUAAAAUUUUUGGUUAAUCUAAAAAAUGUUUCCCAGUACGGAUUACUAAUUUGCAACUUAAAAGUAUGAAGUCAGAAUAAAAAGUAAUGGUAGAUAAGAACGCUACCGUGAAAAUAAAAAUUUCACUUGCACGUCUCGCCCAUCACCUCGAGAAAAUUUAUAUCAAGUGAAGCCUUAAAAGCUUUAAGUAUUUUAUUGUGACCUUGGUGUAGAUAAUUUUGAGCAAGUUGUAACAAAGUAGCUGUUGAUGAAUCAGUAGCUGGAACA